This is a long non-coding RNA of Pogoniulus pusillus (Red-fronted tinkerbird), 1675 nucleotides long. RefSeq lists it as uncharacterized. NCBI's taxonomy places the organism in Eukaryota, Metazoa, Chordata, Aves, Piciformes, Lybiidae. The transcript has 4 exons. The record is from RefSeq and is a predicted model, not a curated record.
UUCCCUGCUGAUAGUGUUGCCUGUCAAUGUGAAAUGAGAGCCAGCUGCCCCAGCACCUUGCAGCACUGCUCCGACCGAGGCAGGAGCACAGGACCUUUGGAAUGGACCCCUGAAGAUACAAAAUCCAACUGCCCUUGCCAAAGCAGGAUCACUCAGAUUGACAGUUGUUCAACAGCAACCUGGGAGAGACUACUUGCUGCCUUCUGUACCUUCUCCUCUAGUGGGAAGAUUCAUGGGGAGGUAUUUCUGCACGUGGAGAGAGCUGAUGCUUUGCCCGUGUGCUGCUGCUGCGCAAGAACAUCUGCAUCCUUAUGGAAAAGCACCGCUCAACCCUGCUGCUGCAGGAGGCAGUCUGCGACUGCCAGCCAAAGAAACAAGCACCCAGCCCCUUCGCCAGUGGGUUUGCCAAGUCCUCACUGUGAGGAAACCAUAGGAAGCAGAAGGACUGGAUUGCCUGGGAAGACCUCUCUGCACUGCUUGGAGUCCUGUCCCAAGCUUUCUCCAGGCAGCUCAAGAUCCCGCUGCUGCAGCAUCAUUGACACCAGCAGAAGAAGGCUGGAAACAAAACACUUAGUGAAGAUCAGCACGGGGCAGGGGAGUGGAGUGAGAAGUGCAGGAAACCCUGUCUGGUGCUCAGUUCCAGCCAAACACAGGAGGUGCCAUAGCUGUGUCCUCAUGAGACAGCCAUACUCUGGGUGACAGCCCUUUGCCUUCACUGUGCGGACCCCAAUGCAGGCAGGAUGGCUCUGGAUGGGAGAAAAGGCCCAAGCACAACCAUGCUGGCACCAUAUUUUCCAUCCCAUCUAGGGCUCCAUGCCACUAGGCAAAGGCUGUGACCAAAACCACACAGCAAAGCCAUAGCUACAGCAUCCAGAGCUUUUGGGGAAUGGCCUGAGAGAUGAAGGCAUGCUGUGGAGCCCUGGGAGGUGAGAGGGUAAACCCAGAACACCUCAAGAACUGGGGACAGGCCAAGGUCCUCUCCUUGAGAGCACUGACACUAAGCCACUUUACCUGGCAUUUACGCCACCAGUUAGACCAAUGCACUGAAAAGCUGAGGAUAGGCAGCAGAAGACAAACAUCAAGGUCUGAAGAGAAGAAAAAGUCAUCUCCAGCAAACUCGUGAGAGGCUUCUCGUCCAAGAGUGAUAUACACACCAGGGCUCCCAGGAAACAACCGAACACAGGUGCAGGAAAACUCCUUUGCUCCCAGUCUGCAAAUGCCUUCCCCUGAAUUUUCCCAGGGAAACCUCUGGUGCUCCCAGGCUCCUCACUGCUCACCCUCCGUGCAGCACACACUGUCACCUAUGCAAAAGACCUAAAUACUGUCCUCAGUCAAUGCUUGUGGCAUUUCAAGGACAAAAUGAAACAGAUUUUGCUUCUGUCACCACAGUUCAGAUGCUGAGAUGACCGUGCUGCUACGGCCUCUCCUGGCUGCUGCUGUUUACUGAUAUCCAUAGCUGGUUCCUGAGAACAAGGCACAGUGAGACAAGAUGUAUCAAAUGCCCUCACCUUGAAGGGUGCUUAGGUUUGGAGUGGACAGUGGGAGAAGGGAGAGAUGGGGACUGGAUGGAGAUGCUUCUGCCUCCAGAAGAGGCUUUCAAGUCCUGUCUCCUUCCUGCUGCAUUUCUGCCAGCUGCAACACCUCCACACCUCACUUUCCAGCUCUGAUCCCUUUA